CAAGUACUCCCUCCGUACGGAAUUACUUGUCAUCAAAAUGGAUGUGUCUAGAACUAAAAUACAUCUAGAUACAUCCAUUUCAAUGACAAGAAUUUUCGGACGGAGGGAGUACAAG
Molecule: non-coding RNA, 115 nt
Organism: Triticum aestivum (bread wheat)
Lineage: Eukaryota; Viridiplantae; Streptophyta; Magnoliopsida; Poales; Poaceae
Source: Rfam